This is a non-coding RNA of Triticum aestivum (bread wheat), 149 nucleotides long. The record is from Rfam. NCBI's taxonomy places the organism in Eukaryota, Viridiplantae, Streptophyta, Magnoliopsida, Poales, Poaceae.
GUAGUACUUCCUCCGUUCCGAAUUACUUGUCUUAGAUUUGUCUAGAUACGGAGGUAUCUAGCACUAAAAUGAGUCUAAAUACAUCAGUCUAGAUACAUCUGUAUCUGGACAAAUCCAAGACAAUUAAUUCGGAACGGAGGGAGUAGUAU